This 253-nucleotide ribosomal RNA is filed under the name uncultured bacterium. RNAcentral describes it as "partial 16S ribosomal RNA". It matches the Rfam family "Bacterial small subunit ribosomal RNA", at positions 524 to 776 of the family's 1533-position model. The record is from RNAcentral.
UACGUAGGGGCCUAGCGUUGUCCGGAAUUAUUGGGCGUAAAGAGCUCGUAGGCGGCUUGUCGCGUCGGAUGUGAAAGCCCGGGGCUUAACUCCGGGUCUGCAUUCGAUACGGGCAGGCUAGAGUUCGGUAGGGGAGAUCGGAAUUCCUGGUGUAGCGGUGAAAUGCGCAGAUAUCAGGAGGAACACCGGUGGCGAAGGCGGAUCUCUGGGCCGAUACUGACGCUGAGGAGCGAAAGCGUGGGGAGCGAACAGG